RNAcentral lists this ribosomal RNA (465 nucleotides) under uncultured Klebsiella sp. Its description in RNAcentral is "bacterial SSU rRNA". It matches the Rfam family "Bacterial small subunit ribosomal RNA", at positions 338 to 795 of the family's 1533-position model. The record is from RNAcentral. Lineage: Bacteria; Pseudomonadati; Pseudomonadota; Gammaproteobacteria; Enterobacterales; Enterobacteriaceae.
CCUACGGGUGGCUGCAGUGGGGAAUAUUGCACAAUGGGCGCAAGCCUGAUGCAGCCAUGCCGCGUGUGUGAAGAAGGCCUUCGGGUUGUAAAGCACUUUCAGCGGGGAGGAAGGCGUUAAGGUUAAUAACCUUGGCGAUUGACGUUACCCGCAGAAGAAGCACCGGCUAACUCCGUGCCAGCAGCCGCAGUAAUACGGAGGGUGCAAGCGUUAAUCGGAAUUACUGGGCGUAAAGCGCACGCAGGCGGUCUGUCAAGUCGGAUGUGAAAUCCCCGGGCUCAACCUGGGAACUGCAUUCGAAACUGGCAGGCUAGAGUCUUGUAGAGGGGGGUAGAAUUCCAGGUGUAGCGGUGAAAUGCGUAGAGAUCUGGAGGAAUACCGGUGGCGAAGGCGGCCCCCUGGACAAAGACUGACGCUCAGGUGCGAAAGCGUGGGGAGCAAACAGGAUUAGAUACCCGAGUAGUC